This 460-nucleotide ribosomal RNA is filed under the name uncultured bacterium. RNAcentral describes it as "partial 16S ribosomal RNA". It matches the Rfam family "Bacterial small subunit ribosomal RNA", at positions 338 to 795 of the family's 1533-position model. The record is from RNAcentral.
CCUACGGGAGACAGCAGUGAGGAAUAUUGGUCAAUGGACGAGAGUCUGAACCAGCCAAGUAGCGUGAAGGAUGACUGCCCUAUGGGUUGUAAACUUCUUUUAUAUGGGAAUAAAAUGUUCCACGUGUGGGAUUUUGUAUGUACCAUAUGAAUAAGGAUCGGCCAACUCCGUUCCAGCAGCCGCGGUAAUACGGAGGAUCCGAGCGUUAUCCAGAUUUAUUGGGUUUAAAGGGAGCGUAGGUGGAUUGUUAAGUCCGUUGUGAAAGUUUGCGGCUCAACCCUAAAAUUGCAGUUGAAACUGGCAGUCUUGAGUACAGGAGAGGUAGGCGGAAUGCGUGGUGUAGCGGUGAAAUGCUUAGAUAUCACGAAGAACUCCGAUUGCGAAGGCAGUUCACUGGACUGCAACUGACACUGAGGCACGAAAGUGUGGGGAUCGAACAGGAUUAGAUACCCUUGUAGUC